RNAcentral lists this ribosomal RNA (1474 nucleotides) under uncultured Desulfomicrobium sp. RNAcentral's name for it is "bacterial SSU rRNA". It matches the Rfam family "Bacterial small subunit ribosomal RNA". Lineage: Bacteria; Pseudomonadati; Thermodesulfobacteriota; Desulfovibrionia; Desulfovibrionales; Desulfomicrobiaceae. The record is from RNAcentral.
AAUGAACGCUGGCGGCGUGCCUAACACAUGCAAGUCGAACGAGAAAGUUCCUUCGGGAAUGAGUAGAGUGGCGCACGGGUGAGUAACGCGUGGGUAAUCUGCCCUUGGAUUUGGGAUAACUUCGCGAAAGUGGAGCUAAUACCGGAUAGUCUGGCUUUGUAAAAGGAGUCGGUAAAGGAUGCCUCUGCAUAUGCAUUCGUCCGAGGAUGAGCCCGCGUCUCAUUAGCUAGUUGGUAGGGUAACGGCCUACCAAGGCGACGAUGAGUAGCUGGUCUGAGAGGAUGAUCAGCCACACUGGGACUGAAACACGGCCCAGACUCCUGCGGGAGGCAGCAGUGGGGAAUAUUGCGCAAUGGGCGAAAGCCUGACGCAGCAACGCCGUGUGAGGGAUGAAGGUUUUCGGAUCGUAAACCUCUGUCAGAAGGGAAGAAGUGGUGCGGGUCCAACAGGCCCGUAUCUUGACGGUACCUUCAAAGGAAGCACCGGCUAACUCCGUGCCAGCAGCCGCGGUAAUACGGAGGGUGCAAGCGUUAUUCGGAAUUACUGGGCGUAAAGCGCACGUAGGCGGCCUUGUAAGUCAGGUGUGAAAUCCCACGGCUCAACCGUGGAACUGCACUUGAAACUGCGGGGCUCGAAUCCUGGAGAGGGCGGCGGAAUUCCUGGUGUAGGAGUGAAAUCCGUAGAUAUCAGGAGGAACACCGGUGGCGAAGGCGGCCGCCUGGACAGGUAUUGACGCUGAGGUGCGAAAGUGUGGGGAGCAAACAGGAUUAGAUACCCUGGUAGUCCACACCGUAAACGAUGGAUACUAGGUGUCGGGGACUUGAUCCUCGGUGCCGCAGUUAACGCGUUAAGUAUCCCGCCUGGGGAGUACGGUCGCAAGGCUGAAACUCAAAGAAAUUGACGGGGGCCCGCACAAGCGGUGGAGUAUGUGGUUUAAUUCGAUGCAACGCGAAGAACCUUACCUGGGCUUGACAUCCUGGGAAUUCCGCAGAGAUGCGGAAGUGCCCUUCGGGGAAUCCAGAGACAGGUGCUGCAUGGCUGUCGUCAGCUCGUGCCGUGAGGUGUUGGGUUAAGUCCCGCAACGAGCGCAACCCCUAUCCUCAGUUGCCAGCAGGUAAAGCUGGGCACUCUGUGGAGACUGCCCGGGUUAACCGGGAGGAAGGUGGGGACGACGUCAAGUCAUCAUGGCCCUUACGCCCAGGGCUACACACGUACUACAAUGGUGGGCACAAAGGGCAGCGAAACCGCGAGGUCCAGCCAAUCCCAAAAAAACCAUCAUAGUCCGGAUUGCAGUCUGCAACUCGACUGCAUGAAGUUGGAAUCGCUAGUAAUCCCGGAUCAGCAUGCCGGGGUGAAUACGUUCCCGGGCCUUGUACACACCGCCCGUCACACCACGAAAGUCGGUUCUACCCGAAGCCGCCAGGCUAACCCGCAAGGGAUGCAGGCGUCUACGGUAGGGCUGGUAAUUGGGGUG